CCUACGGGGCGCAGCAGUGGGGGAUAUUGCACAAUGGGGGGAACCCUGAUGCAGCGACGCCGCGUGGGCGAUGGAGUGCUUCGGCAUGUAAAGCCCUAUCAGCAGGGAAGAAAAUGACGGUACCUGACUAAGAAGCCCCGGCUAAAUACGUGCCAGCAGCCGCGGUAAUACGUAGGGGGCAAGCGUUAUCCGGAUUUAGUGGGGGUAAAGGGAGCGUAGACGGCUGUGCAAGUCUGAAGUAAAAUGCCGGUGCUCAACCCCGGAACUGCUUUGGCAACAGUACAGC
RNAcentral lists this ribosomal RNA (286 nucleotides) under uncultured bacterium. RNAcentral's name for it is "partial 16S ribosomal RNA". It matches the Rfam family "Bacterial small subunit ribosomal RNA", at positions 338 to 641 of the family's 1533-position model. The record is from RNAcentral.